RNAcentral lists this long non-coding RNA (727 nucleotides) under Carassius auratus (goldfish). RNAcentral's name for it is "lncRNA (ENSCARG00000068344.1)". The record is from RNAcentral. Lineage: Eukaryota; Metazoa; Chordata; Actinopteri; Cypriniformes; Cyprinidae.
CUGGUGCAGAAGAUCAAACGCACAUAGAAAAAGAAGGAAAAGAAGACUGAGAAAUGCAUAGAGAUAUGAAAAGCUGACCGUGAGUGAGUCUCAGUCAGUAAGUUACUCAGCUUUUGAUUGAACAGUCUCAGACUCCCCAGGGCUCCUAAGGAGGGAGGGGGCCCUGUCAGCCAUGAUUGCAGCUCGCAGUAGUUCGGUAGGUCGAGGGGGCCCUGAAGAGCACUCCAGGCACCGCAGACAGUCAGCUGCUUCUCUGACAGGGCACCGUGGGCACCGCAACUCUCAAGAGAGCACUCGUGAUAGUCAUGCUCAGCUCCGGCAGGGGGCGCUGCUGCGGGCGAGGAAAGCGUUUCUUAUCAGGGAGAUGGAGACCAACUGGUACUUGAAGCUGUGUGGCCGGGCCAGAGAAGAUAGUGUUGCUUAUGAGACUGGCAUGCCUUACCGGAAUUCAAUUCAUGAUACAGCACUGGCUGGUUUGUUAGAUCCCCUGAAUGAAUGCCAUAAUUGGGAUUGUUCUUCAGAAGGCUGUCCUUGAGCUGAUUUAGCUUUUUAUGUCUUUAACAAAAUGAAGCAGUCAAAAAAGGUUAAUGGAAGGAUUUAAAAUUGGAGCCCCGCAGCUGUACGAUGCGAGAAUGCUGGGCGCCUUUUAUUCUAUUUCUCUUAAAGCUGAAAAUGUAUCUGAUGAAAUAGGUUGUGAGAAAGACCAAGACAGACAGACAGAGAAGCA